GUGACUAGUGACAGAGUUAGGGAGGGAAGGGGUAACUAGUGACAGAGGGAGGGGUGACUAGGGACAGAGUGAGGGAGAUGGUGACUAGUGACUAGUGACAGUCACCACCUCUGUCACUAGUCACCACCUCCCUCCCUCUGUCACUGGUCACCCACUCCCUCCCUCACUCUUUCACCAGUCAUCCCCUUACUCUGUCACUAGUCACCCCUUCCUUCCCUCACUCUGCCACUAGUCACCCCUUCCCUCACUCUGUCACUAGUCAC
Non-coding RNA from Pelobates cultripes (western spadefoot toad), 263 nucleotides. The record is from the annotation of a GenBank genome assembly. Lineage: Eukaryota; Metazoa; Chordata; Amphibia; Anura; Pelobatidae.